RNAcentral lists this long non-coding RNA (204 nucleotides) under Panax ginseng (ginseng). RNAcentral's name for it is "long non-coding RNA (PGIN_LNC011011)". The record is from RNAcentral. Lineage: Eukaryota; Viridiplantae; Streptophyta; Magnoliopsida; Apiales; Araliaceae.
CAAGAUUAUCAAACCACGAGACACCAAGAAUUUUACGUGGAAAACCCUCUAAAACUAAGAGGUAAAAACUACGGGACGAUCUCCGAAAAAUCCACUAGAAUAAUAUGAGAGAAUACAAAGAUAUCUUAAUUUGAGUACAAACUCAAAUUACUUCACCACAAUAACUAUGUGAUGGAACCCAAAUAAAACACCCUUCUAUUUGAA